GAUGAACGCUGACAGAAUGCUUAACACAUGCAAGUCAACUUUUGGCGGACGGGUGAGUAACGCGUAAAGAACUUGCCUCACGGAUAGGGACAACAUUUGGAACCGAAUACUAAUACCUGAUACUGUGAGAGAGCUUUGGGUCCCAUUAGCUAGUUGGAGAGGUAACGGCUCACCAAGGCGAUGAUGGGUAGCCGGACUGAGAGGGUGAUCGGCCACAAGGGGACUGGGACACGGUCCUUACGCCAGCGUGAGGCAGCAGUGGGGAAGAUAGAACAAUGGACCAAAGUCUGAACCAGGAAUUCUGUGUGCAAGAUGAAGUUUUCGGAAGGUAAAGUGCUUUCAGUAGAGAAGCGGUACCAACAGAAGAAGUGACGGCUAAAUACGUGCCAGCAGCCGCGGUAAUUC
RNAcentral lists this ribosomal RNA (405 nucleotides) under uncultured bacterium. RNAcentral describes it as "partial 16S ribosomal RNA". It matches the Rfam family "Bacterial small subunit ribosomal RNA", at positions 28 to 526 of the family's 1533-position model. The record is from RNAcentral.